GAGCGGCGGACGGGUGAGUAAUGUCUGGGAAACUGCCUGAUGGAGGGGGAUAACUACUGGAAACGGUAGCUAAUACCGCAUAACGUCGCAAGACCAAAGAGGGGGACCUUCGGGCCUCUUGCCAUCAGAUGUGCCCAGAUGGGAUUAGCUAGUAGGUGGGGUAAUGGCUCACCUAGGCGACGAUCCCUAGCUGGUCUGAGAGGAUGACCAGCCACACUGGAACUGAGACACGGUCCAGACUCCUACGGGAGGCAGCAGUGGGGAAUAUUGCACAAUGGGCGCAAGCCUGAUGCAGCCAUGCCGCGUGUAUGAAGAAGGCCUUCGGGUUGUAAAGUACUUUCAGCGGGGAGGAAGGCGGUGAGGUUAAUAACCUCAUCGAUUGACGUUACCCGCAGAAGAAGCACCGGCUAACUCCGUGCCAGCAGCCGCGGUAAUACGGAGGGUGCAAGCGUUAAUCGGAAUUACUGGGCGUAAAGCGCACGCAGGCGGUCUGUCAAGUCGGAUGUGAAAUCCCCGGGCUCAACCUGGGAACUGCAUUCGAAACUGGCAGGCUAGAGUCUUGUAGAGG
Molecule: ribosomal RNA, 568 nt
Filed under: Enterobacter cloacae
Lineage: Bacteria; Pseudomonadati; Pseudomonadota; Gammaproteobacteria; Enterobacterales; Enterobacteriaceae
Description: bacterial SSU rRNA
Rfam family: Bacterial small subunit ribosomal RNA
Source: RNAcentral